AACGAACGCUGGCGGCAUGCCUAACACAUGCAAGUCGAACGAGACCUUCGGGUCUAGUGGCGCACGGGUGCGUAACGCGUGGGAACCUGCCUUUAGGUUCGGAAUAACUCAGAGAAAUUUGAGCUAAUACCGGAUAAUGUCUUCGGACCAAAGAUUUAUCGCCUUUAGAUGGGCCCGCGUAAGAUUAGCUAGUUGGUGGGGUAAAGGCCUACCAAGGCGACGAUCUUUAGCUGGUCUGAGAGGAUGAUCAGCCACACUGGGACUGAGACACGGCCCAGACUCCUACGGGAGGCAGCAGUGGGGAAUAUUGGACACUGGGGGGAAACCCUGAUCCAGCAAUGCCGCGUGAAUGAUGAAGGCCUUCGGGUUGUAAAGUUCUUUACCUGAGAAGAUAAUGACGGUAUCAGGGGAAAAAGCAACCGGCUAACUUCGUGCCAGCAGCCGCGGUAAU
Molecule: ribosomal RNA, 451 nt
Filed under: uncultured bacterium
Lineage: Bacteria
Description: bacterial SSU rRNA
Rfam family: Bacterial small subunit ribosomal RNA
Source: RNAcentral